AAUGAACGCUGGCGGCAGGCCUAACACAUGCAAGUCGAACGGAUCCUUCGGGAUUAGUGGCGGACGGGUGAGUAACGCGUGGGAACAUACCCAAAGGUACGGAAUAGCCUCGGGAAACGGGGAGUAAUACCGUAUGUGCUCGAAAGAGGAAAGAUUUAUCGCCUUUGGAUUGGCCCGCGUUGGAUUAGGUAGUUGGUGGGGUAAUGGCCUACCAAGCCGACGAUCCAUAGCUGGUUUGAGAGGGUGAUCAGCCACACUGGGACUGAGACACGGCCCAGACUCCUACGGGAGGCAGCAGUGGGGAAUCUUAGACAAUGGGGGAAACCCUGAUCUAGCCAUGCCGCGUGAUCGAUGAAGGCCUUAGGGUUGUAAAGAUCUUUCAGGUGGGAAGAUAAUGACUGUACCACCAGAAGAAGCCCCGGCUAACUCCGUGCCAGCCGCCGCAGUAA
This 449-nucleotide ribosomal RNA is filed under the name uncultured bacterium. RNAcentral's name for it is "partial 16S ribosomal RNA". It matches the Rfam family "Bacterial small subunit ribosomal RNA", at positions 29 to 523 of the family's 1533-position model. The record is from RNAcentral.